Molecule: long non-coding RNA, 333 nt
Filed under: Lathyrus oleraceus (garden pea)
Lineage: Eukaryota; Viridiplantae; Streptophyta; Magnoliopsida; Fabales; Fabaceae
Description: Pisum sativum (pea) long non-coding RNA (PSAT_LNC011139)
Source: RNAcentral
CCACUACUCUUCUUCCCCAUUGUCAUUCUAGAAAUGAUAUUAUUAGUAUGUCUAAUAAGUUCAUGUCUCAUUUCAAUAGGUUUACCAUUUUUCGAUAUCUCCAAAAGGUUCCUCAAAAAACACUCAACUUCAUCCUCGCGAAUACUCACAAAGUGCUCAAGAGUUUUUCCACUAAGAAGCUCAGUCAUGCAAAGCUUCUUGAGAAACCUCCAAUAAUUUCCAUAAGGUAUGAAAAAAUAAUCAGCAGCACCAUAGGUUAAACUCUCGCUCGCAAUCAUAAUAGGCCGAUUGCAAAACGAUUCUUCGCAAGUUUUUAGAAUUUGCUUCGCACUU